RNAcentral lists this ribosomal RNA (397 nucleotides) under uncultured bacterium. RNAcentral describes it as "bacterial SSU rRNA". It matches the Rfam family "Bacterial small subunit ribosomal RNA", at positions 997 to 1393 of the family's 1533-position model. The record is from RNAcentral.
ACCUAAGAGAUUAGGCGUUCCCUUCGGGGACGGAAUGACAGGUGGUGCAUGGUUGUCGUCAGCUCGUGUCGUGAGAUGUUGGGUUAAGUCCCGCAACGAGCGCAACCCUCGUUCUAUGUUGCCAGCGCGUUAUGGCGGGGACUCAUAGGAGACUGCCGGGGUCAACUCGGAGGAAGGUGGGGAUGACGUCAAAUCAUCAUGCCCCUUAUGUCUUGGGCUUCACGCAUGCUACAAUGGCCGGUACAAAGGGCUGCGAUACCGUAAGGUGGAGCGAAUCCCAAAAAGCCGGUCUCAGUUCGGAUUGAGGUCUGCAACUCGACCUCAUGAAGUCGGAGUCGCUAGUAAUCGCGGAUCAGCACGCCGCGGUGAAUACGUUCCCGGGUCUUGUACACACCGA